ACCUUGAAAUACCACCCUUUAAUGUUUGAUGUUCUAACGUUGGCCCCUGACCGGGGUUGCGGACAGUGUCUGGUGGGUAGUUUGACUGGGGCGGUCUCCUCCCAAAGCGUAACGGAGGAGCACGAAGGUUAGCUAAUCCUGGUCGGACAUCAGGAGGUUAGUGCAAUGGCAUAAGCUAGCUUGACUGCGAGCGUGACGGCGCGAGCAGGUGCGAAAGCAGGUCAUAGUGAUCCGGUGGUUCUGAAUGGAAGGGCCAUCGCUCAACGGAUAAAAGGUACUCCGGGGAUAACAGGCUGAUACCGCCCAAGAGUUCAUAUCGACGGCGGUGUUUGGCACCUCGAUGUCGGCUCAUCACAUCCUGGGGCUGAAGUAGGUCCCAAGGGUAUGGCUGUUCGCCAUUUAAAGUGGUACGCGAGCUGGGUUUAGAACGUCGUGAGACAGUUCGGUCCCUAUCUGCCGUGGGCGCUGGAGAAUUGAGGGGGGCUGCUCCUAGUACGAGAGGACCGGAGUGGACGCAUCACUGGUGUUCGGGUUGUCAUGCCAAUGGCACUGCCCGGUAGCUAAAUGCGGAAGAGAUAAGUGCUGAAAGCAUCUAAGCACGAAACUUGCCCCGAGAUGAGUUCUCCCUGAGACUU
This 635-nucleotide ribosomal RNA is filed under the name Klebsiella pneumoniae. RNAcentral's name for it is "partial 23S ribosomal RNA". It matches the Rfam family "Bacterial large subunit ribosomal RNA", at positions 2189 to 2823 of the family's 2925-position model. Lineage: Bacteria; Pseudomonadati; Pseudomonadota; Gammaproteobacteria; Enterobacterales; Enterobacteriaceae. The record is from RNAcentral.